This 21-nucleotide non-coding RNA is filed under the name Rattus norvegicus (Norway rat). The record is from RNAcentral. Lineage: Eukaryota; Metazoa; Chordata; Mammalia; Rodentia; Muridae.
UUCCAAAGCUAGACCAGAGGU